RNAcentral lists this ribosomal RNA (1343 nucleotides) under uncultured bacterium. RNAcentral's name for it is "16S ribosomal RNA". It matches the Rfam family "Bacterial small subunit ribosomal RNA", at positions 28 to 1378 of the family's 1533-position model. The record is from RNAcentral.
GACGAACGCUGGCGGCGUGCUUAACACAUGCAAGUCGAACGGAAAGGCCCUGCUUUUGUGGGGUGCUCGAGUGGCGAACGGGUGAGUAACACGUGAGUAACCUGCCCUUGACUUUGGGAUAACUUCAGGAAACUGGGGCUAAUACCGGAUAGGAGCUCCUGCUGCAUGGUGGGGGUCGGAAAGUUUCGGCGGUUGGGGAUGGACUCGCGGCUUAUCAGCUUGUUGGUGGGGUAGUGGCUUACCAAGGCUUUGACGGGUAGCCGGCCUGAGAGGGUGACCGGCCACAUUGGGACUGAGAUACGGCCCAGACUCCUACGGGAGGCAGCAGUGGGGAAUAUUGCACAAUGGGCGGAAGCCUGAUGCAGCAACGCCGCGUGCGGGAUGACGGCCUUCGGGUUGUAAACCGCUUUCGCCUGUGACGAAGCGUGAGUGACGGUAAUGGGUAAAGAAGCACCGGCUAACUACGUGCCAGCAGCCGCGGUGAUACGUAGGGUGCGAGCGUUGUCCGGAUUUAUUGGGCGUAAAGGGCUCGUAGGUGGUUGAUCGCGUCGGAAGUGUAAUCUUGGGGCUUAACCCUGAGCGUGCUUUCGAUACGGGUUGACUUGAGGAAGGUAGGGGAGAAUGGAAUUCCUGGUGGAGCGGUGGAAUGCGCAGAUAUCAGGAGGAACACCAGUGGCGAAGGCGGUUCUCUGGGCCUUUCCUGACGCUGAGGAGCGAAAGCGUGGGGAGCGAACAGGCUUAGAUACCCUGGUAGUCCACGCUGUAAACGGUGGGUACUAGGUGUGGGGUCCAUUCCACGGGUUCCGUGCCGUAGCUAACGCUUUAAGUACCCCGCCUGGGGAGUACGGCCGCAAGGCUAAAACUCAAAGGAAUUGACGGGGCCCCGCACAAGCGGCGGAGCAUGCGGAUUAAUUCGAUGCAACGCGUAGAACCUUACCUGGGUUUGACAUGGGUCGGGAGUGCUCAGAGAUGGGUGUGCCUCCUUUGGGGUCGGUUCACAGGUGGUGCAUGGCUGUCGUCAGCUCGUGUCGUGAGAUGUUGGGUUAAGUCCCGCAACGAGCGCAACCCUUGUUCACUGUUGCCAGCACGUUAUGGUGGGGACUCAGUGGAGACCGCCGGGGUCAACUCGGAGGAAGGUGGGGAUGACGUCAAGUCAUCAUGCCCCUUAUGUCCAGGGCUUCACGCAUGCUACAAUGGCUGGUACAGAGAGUGGCGAGCCUGUGAGGGUGAGCGAAUCUCGGAAAGCCGGUCUCAGUUCGGAUUGGGGUCUGCAACUCGACCUCAUGAAGUCGGAGUCGCUAGUAAUCGCAGAUCAGCAACGCUGCGGUGAAUACGUUCCCGGG